ACAAACUUGGUCAUUUAGAGGAAGUAAAAGUCGUAACAAGGUCUCCGUAGGUGAACCUGCGGAGGGAUCAUUACUGAACGGCCCUCUAGGCCUUCAACCCCUCAAACCUGUGGACCUCAAACGCUGUGCUUCGGCGCUGCCCUGGAGCGGCGCCGCUUUUAUGCAUCGAGUCUUAUGUUGUCUGAUUGCUUUGAGGAUUGAAAACUUUCAACAAAGGAUCUCUUGGCUCUCGCAUCGAUGAAGAACGCAGC
RNAcentral lists this unclassified non-coding RNA (251 nucleotides) under uncultured fungus. RNAcentral's name for it is "partial contains small subunit ribosomal RNA, internal transcribed spacer 1, and 5.8S ribosomal RNA". The stretch from base 1 to 73 matches the Rfam family "Eukaryotic small subunit ribosomal RNA", at positions 1759 to 1831 of the family's 1831-position model. Lineage: Eukaryota; Fungi. The record is from RNAcentral.